GAACGCGAAAGUUCCUUCGGGGAUGAUUAGAGUGGCGUCCGGGUGAGUAACACGUGGGUAAUCUACCUUCGGGUGGGGAAUAACUCGCCGAAAGGCGAGCUAAUACCGCAUAAUGCAGCGGCACCUUAUGGUGAAUAGUUGUUAAAGCGGGGGAUCGCAAGACCUCGUGCCUGAAGAGGAGCCUGCGGCAGAUUAGCUAGUUGGUGGGGUAAUGGCUCACCAAGGCUGCGAUCUGUAGCUGGUCUGAGAGGACGGCCAGCCACACUGGCACUGACACACGGGCCAGACUCCUACGGGAGGCAGCAGUGGGGAAUUUUGGGCAAUGGGCGAAAGCCUGACCCAGCAACGCCGCGUGAGGGAGGAAAUCCUUCGGGAUGUAAACCUCGCAGGCAGGGGAAGAGCGCUUCUUUUCUAAUANAGGGGAAGCUCGACGGUACCCUGCGUAAGCCACGGCUAACUACGUG
Molecule: ribosomal RNA, 464 nt
Filed under: uncultured bacterium
Lineage: Bacteria
Description: bacterial SSU rRNA
Rfam family: Bacterial small subunit ribosomal RNA
Source: RNAcentral